GACGAACGCUGGCGGCGUGCUUAACACAUGCAAGUCGAACGGUAAGGCCCUUCGGGUACACGAGUGGCGAACGGGUGAGUAACACGUGGGUGAUCUGCCCUGCACUUCGGGAUAAGCCUGGGAAACUGGGUCUAAUACCGGAUAGGACUCCGGACUGCAUGGUCUGGGGUGGAAAGCUUUUGCGGUGUGGGAUGGGCCCGCGGCCUAUAAGCUUGUUGGUGGGGGGAUGGCCUACAAAGGCGACGACGGGUAGCCGGCCUGAGAGGGUGACCGGCCACACUGGGACUGAGAUACGGCCCAGACUCCUACGGGAGGCAGCAGUGGGGAAUAUUGCACAAUGGGCGCAAGCCUGAUGCAGCGACGCCGCGUGAGGGAUGACGGCCUUCGGGUUGUAAACCUCUUUCAGCAUCGACGAAGCGAAAGUGACGGUAGGUGCAGAAGAAGGACCGGCCAACUACGUGCCAGCCGCCGCAGUAA
This 477-nucleotide ribosomal RNA is filed under the name uncultured bacterium. RNAcentral's name for it is "partial 16S ribosomal RNA". It matches the Rfam family "Bacterial small subunit ribosomal RNA", at positions 28 to 523 of the family's 1533-position model. The record is from RNAcentral.